This 489-nucleotide ribosomal RNA is filed under the name uncultured bacterium. RNAcentral describes it as "partial 16S ribosomal RNA". It matches the Rfam family "Bacterial small subunit ribosomal RNA", at positions 28 to 506 of the family's 1533-position model. The record is from RNAcentral.
GAUGAACGCUCGCGAUAGGCUUAACACAUGCAAGUCGAGGGGCAGCAUGGUCUUAGCUUGCUAAGACUGAUGGCGACCGGCGCACGGGUGCGUAACGCGUAUGCAACUUGCCUCACAGAGGGGGAUAACCCGUCGAAAGACGGACUAAUACCGCGUACACUUGGGAUAGGGCAUCCUGACCCAAGGAAAUGAAAUUCGCUGUGAGAUAGGCAUGCGUCCCAUUAGCUAGUUGGUGAGGUAACGGCUCACCAAGGCGACGAUGGGUAGGGGAACUGAGAGGUUGAACCCCCACACUGGUACUGAGACGCGGACCAGACUCCUACGGGAGGCAGCAGUGAGGAAUAUUGGUCAAUGGGCGAGAGCCUGAACCAGCCAAGUCGCGUGAAGGAUGACUGUCUUAUGGAGUGUAAACUUCUUUUAUACGGGAAUAACAAGAGCCACGUGUGGCUCCCUGCAUGUACCGUAUGAAUAAGCAUCGGCUAACUCCGU